GACGAACGCUGGCGGCGUGCUUAACACAUGCAAGUCGAACGGAAAGGCCCUGCUUUUGUGGGGUGCUCGAGUGGCGAACGGGUGAGUAACACGUGAGUAACCUGCCCUUGACUUUGGGAUAACUUCAGGAAACUGGGGCUAAUACCGGAUAGGAGCUCCUGCUGCAUGGUGGGGGUUGGAAAGUUUCGGCGGUUGGGGAUGGACUCGCGGCUUAUCAGCUUGUUGGUGGGGUAGUGGCUUACCAAGGCUUUGACGGGUAGCCGGCCUGAGAGGGUGACCGGCCACAUGGGGCCUGAGAUACGGCCCGGACUCCUACGGGAGGCAGCGGUGGGGAAUAUUGCACAAUGGGCGGAGGCCUGAUGCAGCAACGCCGCGUGCGGAAUGACGGCCUUCGGGUUGUAAACCGCUUUCGCCUGUGACGAAGCGUGAGUGACGGUAAUGGGUAAAGAAGCACCGGCUAACUACGU
RNAcentral lists this ribosomal RNA (467 nucleotides) under uncultured bacterium. RNAcentral describes it as "partial 16S ribosomal RNA". It matches the Rfam family "Bacterial small subunit ribosomal RNA", at positions 28 to 506 of the family's 1533-position model. The record is from RNAcentral.